CCUACGGGAGGCAGCAGUGAGGAAUAUUGGUCAAUGGGCGAGAGCCUGAACCAGCCAAGUCGCGUGAAGGAUGACGGCCCUACGGGUUGUAAACUUCUUUUGUCAGGGAGCAAUUGGGUCCACGCGUGGGCUUAGCGAGAGUACCUGCAGAAAAAGCAUCGGCUAACUCCGUGCCAGCAGCCGCGGUAAUACGGAGGAUGCGAGCGUUAUCCGGAUUUAUUGGGUUUAAAGGGUGCGUAGGCGGAUUAUUACGUCAGCGGUAAAAUUUCGGGGCUCAACCCCGUCGUGCCGUUGAAACUGGUGUUCUUGAGUGGGCGAGAAGUAUGCGGAAUGCGUGGUGUAGCGGUGAAAUGCAUAGAGAUCACGCAGAACUCCGAUUGCGAAGGCAGCAUACCGGCGCCCAACUGACGCUGAAGCACGAAAGCGUGGGUAUCGAACAGGAUUAGAUACCCCAGUAGUC
This 460-nucleotide ribosomal RNA is filed under the name uncultured bacterium. RNAcentral's name for it is "partial 16S ribosomal RNA". It matches the Rfam family "Bacterial small subunit ribosomal RNA", at positions 338 to 795 of the family's 1533-position model. The record is from RNAcentral.